GGGGUAUUAAGAAAUUAUAGAGUAAAGAAUAUAUAAAAGCCUUUGAACAAAAAAACAUGUUUUGGGGUCUAAAAGAUUGUACUGCCCAUGAUACCACAUUGGUUAUCCCCUUGAUUGCACAUGGUAUUAAAAAGAGAAUUGAGAGGUCUACUAUAAGCAAAAUAAAGAGUUGAGGAUAAGUGAUUAGGUUUUUGGAAAACUUAAAUUAAAGUUUAUUCGGAGGUUGUAAAAUUGAGUUUUAUAAAGGUCGGUUGGUAACCUUAGUGAGCUUUAGAUUGUUUUAAACAGAUUUGCGUAGUUUUUUGCAAUUGCCUUUUAGAAAAUCUAUAAUGGGCACGUUUUUAGGACUCGACACCAGUGCGGAGCAUUAACAUAAUAUGAAGACAUAGAGUAAGUAAUGGGGAGUGAGAGGUGAUAAAUAUGAGUGCCAGCAAUCGCGGUUAGUCUUAUCUUCUCCAGCCAUUGAAUUAUCAUAUAAAAGUAAAAGUGGAAAAAAAACUCUUAUCUGCGGUAGAUACGGUAAAAUGUGGCUGCUAAGAAAAAUUCUUGAAGAGAGUUAAAGUAAGAUUGUUUUUAAUAUAAAACCUUAUAAGGCUGCGUAGCUGAGACGGGGAUUUGUACCCCAGUAUUAAUGCUCUUGAAUAAUGUGUGGGUACUACGAGCAAACGCGCUUAAAAACCAAAGAGGUUGGCGGUAUUCCAAAUCCGGUUAGGGGAACUUGGCGAUUAAAUCGAUGAACCUCGAAAAUUUUACCCUUAGUUUUCUUUGCAUACCGCCGUUGAGACAAGCUUUUGGGGGUCGAAGAACUUAAACGCAAAAUAUAAAAAAUAUUUAAAGGAGAGCUGUUUGAAGCUUUUAGUUGGGGUUUCUAUAAAAAUUCAGGUAAACGUGUAGGUUCUAAGGGGUUUAGCUGAGUUACAUUUUUUUAUAAUAAGGCGGAUGUCCAGGUUUAAACUGGAUUGAAGAUGUACUUGUUAGUAAAAUUUUUUAUAAAAGAAAUUUGAAUAGAGUUAUGGAAUGCGUACAAAUCGCCCGGCGCCCUCGAAUAGUUUAAAUUGAGGUAAGUCGUAACAUAGUAAUGCUAGUAGAAACUGGUGUUAAGCAAACUAAAAGGAGUUAGUUAGAAUCUAAUAUUAAAGGUGUUA
RNAcentral lists this ribosomal RNA (1145 nucleotides) under Paratapes undulatus (undulate venus clam). RNAcentral describes it as "small ribosomal RNA". Lineage: Eukaryota; Metazoa; Mollusca; Bivalvia; Venerida; Veneridae. The record is from RNAcentral.